Notechis scutatus (mainland tiger snake) is the source of this 402-nucleotide non-coding RNA. Lineage: Eukaryota; Metazoa; Chordata; Lepidosauria; Squamata; Elapidae. The record is from RefSeq and is a predicted model, not a curated record.
GCAGAUAUGCAUAACAAAAUCUGAGAAAUUUGGUGUGAGAAGGUCUAAUUGGAAUGUGUAAGUAAGCCUCUGUUAAGUCAAUGGAAGUUAAAAAGUCGCCUUUCCUUAUGCUAAGCAGAAUGGUUUGCAACGUACUCAUUUUAAAUUUGCGAUAGACUAGAGCACGGUUUAGUCUUUUUAAAUCUAGGAUUGCCCUCCAUCCCCCCGAACUCUUAGGGACUACGAAAAGUAGUGAAUAGAACCUGUACCCUUGUUGAUCUCGGGCUACUGGUUGGAUGGCUUUGAUUUCCAAUAAAUGCUUGAUCGCUGUCUCCAUCAAGUUCCUUUUAACAGGAUCCCUGGAGAGAGGGCAUUUCAUGAAAAAGUCCGGGGGAGUGGAGCGGAAUUCCAGAGCUAGGCCAA